Molecule: ribosomal RNA, 266 nt
Filed under: uncultured bacterium
Lineage: Bacteria
Description: partial 16S ribosomal RNA
Rfam family: Bacterial small subunit ribosomal RNA
Source: RNAcentral
GUCCACGCUGUAAACGAUGAGUGCUAGGUGCUGUGGGUAUUGACCCCCGCGGUGCCGAAGCUAACGCGAUAAGCACUCCGCCUGUGGAGUAUGGCCGCAAGGCUAAAACUCAAAGGAAUUGACGGGUGCCCCGCACAAGAGGUGGAGCAUGUGGUUCAAUUCGACGCAACGCGCAGAACCUUACCUGGGUUAAAUCCACUCGAACUUAGCAGAGAUGCUUUGGUGCCCUUCGGGGAAUGAGUGAGACGGUGCUGCAUGGCUGUCGU